UGUGCUUGCUUCGGCAUACUAAAAUUGGAAUGAUACAGAGAAGAUUAGCAUGGCCCCUGCGCAAGGAUGAUACGCAAAUUCGUGAAGCGUUCCAUAUUUUU
Capra hircus (goat) is the source of this 101-nucleotide small nuclear RNA. The record is from Ensembl. Lineage: Eukaryota; Metazoa; Chordata; Mammalia; Artiodactyla; Bovidae.